This 253-nucleotide ribosomal RNA is filed under the name uncultured bacterium. RNAcentral describes it as "partial 16S ribosomal RNA". It matches the Rfam family "Bacterial small subunit ribosomal RNA", at positions 524 to 776 of the family's 1533-position model. The record is from RNAcentral.
UACAGAGGGUGCAAGCGUUAGUCGGAGUGACUGGGCGUAAAGGGCGAGUAGGCGGGAUUAUACGUUAGAUGUGAAAUACACGGGCUCAACCUGUGAGGGUCAUCUAAAACGGUAAAUCUAGAGUACAGUAGAGGGGAGUGGAAUUUCCGGAGGAGCGGUGAAAUGCGUAGAUCUCGGAAGGAACACCGGUGGCGAAGGCGACUCCCUGGGCUGAAACUGACGCUGAGGCGCGAAGGCGUGGGUAGCGAACAGG